RNAcentral lists this ribosomal RNA (253 nucleotides) under uncultured bacterium. RNAcentral describes it as "partial 16S ribosomal RNA". It matches the Rfam family "Bacterial small subunit ribosomal RNA", at positions 524 to 776 of the family's 1533-position model. The record is from RNAcentral.
GACGAAGGGGGCUAGCGUUGCUCGGAAUUACUGGGCGUAAAGCGCGUGUAGGCGGCUGUUCGAGUUGGGCGUGAAAGCCUUGGGCUUAACCCAAGAAAUGCGCUCAAUACUGGAUAGCUAGAGGACCGGAGAGGAUAGUGGAAUUCCCAGUGUAGUGGUGAAAUACGUAGAGAUUGGGAAAAACACCAGUGGCGAAGGCGGCUAUCUGGACGGUUUCUGACGCUAAGACGCGAAAGCGUGGGGAGCAAACAGG